Leopardus geoffroyi (Geoffroy's cat) is the source of this 1998-nucleotide long non-coding RNA. RefSeq lists it as uncharacterized. The record is from RefSeq and is a predicted model, not a curated record. The transcript is spliced from 6 exons. NCBI's taxonomy places the organism in Eukaryota, Metazoa, Chordata, Mammalia, Carnivora, Felidae.
GAGUGGAAUAUGUUCUUAGGCCUGGGUAUAUAGGGAAGCUUUGGUAAAUGGGGAGUUUCCAGUAUCCUAUGGAAACUUCCAGUAUCCAGAGGAUACUGGAAACUCACCUGGACAAAGGAAGUGAGAUAAUGCCUGGGGGGGGUGGUGUGGGGAAGGUGAAGUGUUGGCUCUCUUCACAGGAUCACUUCAGGCACAAGUCCUUGCCCAGGGACCAAGUGAACAUUGCACAGGCAGCCAGAACCAAUGGCCAGCCCACUGUGAAUCUGCAUCAGCAGGAAGGGGCUUGAGUGAGGAGGGGCAGCUCUGUAGGCAAUGGAGCAGAGAUCAGAGACAGACUUGCACUGGGCCCAGACUCAGUAUGUAGCAAUACAGUUGUCCCUUCUUAUCUGCAGGGGAUAUCUCUCCCUGGAUACCUGAAACUUAGACGGCUUCAGAAGACUCUGGAAGCUGCUUAUUGCCCAGUAUUUUCCACUGCAACCCCAGACAGACUUAGACUGCAUCUCUACCUGCUGGACACCAAGGAGAUCGACAACCCUGCUUUUAGCUUUCUCUUUGGAAUAUGGACAGUAAAACUUCACUAAUACUCCACCUUUAUUCCAAGGACUGUUUGUGGCAGCUUCCUGAUCCCUGGAUUGUAGCUACGGCACUGUGUUCUCAAACUCAGUAUUUCAGCGGCCAUCGGAGACUGCAGCUCCCCAGGGAGGCAGCUGACAUGUUGUGAAGACACUCAGAUUUCUGCCAACAACCAACACUGAUCUGCCAAGCGAGUAAGUGAGCCACCUUAGAAGCAAAACCUCCAACCUCGGUCAAGUGUACAGGAAACUGCAGCACGAGCUGACAUCUUGACUGCAAUCACAUAAAAGACCCCAAACCAGGAUCACCCGCCUAAGUCACUCCUUACCCAUAGAAACUGUGAAGAAGAAACAUCAGUUUUGGUACAACAUGAACCCUAACUCACAGGAGAUCCACCUGCUUCACUGUCCAGAGGAAGCGAAUGAACUGGAAGGCAUCAGGCCAAUUACUCAUUAAGUCUCUGCAAUCCAUUUCGAGUCCCAGUUUCCUAUUGAUAUUAUGCCUUGAAUGUCAGGGAUGACUUCCUCCUAGGCAAAAUUAAUAGCUUUUUUAUUGGUCCCCAAAUUUGCCGAUGGUAUUUGAUGUCAGUGGUCACCCCAACUUGAGCACAUUCUUUUGGUUUCUGCGAUCCUGUACUUUCCUGUUAUUAACCAGGGCCAGGGCUAGGGUGAAGAAAGCGAAGUGCUCAGAAUGCAAAAUUCAAGGAGGCACUCACUCUCAGGGUCAUGCGAGUGAAAUGUGUUCACACUGAACAUGUUUUUGGCUAGUCAAGACCAACUGUAUUUAGCACAAUGAAAAGAAUAAAAGCAUUUUGCCUUUAUUUCACUUACUGUUUUUCCACGGCAGAACAUACGGCAGAGACUUGGGAACACGCAUGCCUGAAGCCAGGUUACUCUUAUGUUCCAUAACUAUGUUGCUUGCAGGGCUGCAAAAAGAAAGACAAAUUUGCCUAUGCCCGCCUAUCUGUAUUCUCCAUGCAGGCACACACAAGACCAUCAAAAAUGUGUUUUUUGUAAUUUGGGGGAAAACAGCAAACUACAUUCUGAAAUGUAAACACAUUUCCAUCAAAACAUUCUUGCAAUUAGAAUGAUUACUACUUCUCUGAAAAGCUCACUGUUCUGUAAAAGCAUUAAGAUGGGUCUGACCAUUUUCAUUUUCCAGAAAUUGAGAUAAACAGCAAUGCCAUCUACUGUUCGGUUGUGUGACAGGCUCAUCAACUCACUCAACAAAUAUGAGAGAUAAAAUGCCAAGACAACCAAACCAAAGGCAACACAUCUCAUAGGAUGGAGGGAAAAUUAAAACUGUACUAUUAAAAUUCAUCUUCAAGUUCUUCUAUUUUAGUGCACACACACAAUAAGGUACACGUGCCAUUGUUAACUUAUCUUAGGAGCUAAGAAAUAAAAAUUGAUAAGCAUUCUAUUUGGG